UACGUAGGGGGCAAGCGUUGUCCGGAAUCAUUGGGCGUAAAGCGCGUGUAGGCGGUUCGGUAAGUCUGCUGUGAAAGUCCAGGGCUCAACCCUGGGAUGCCGGUGGAUACUGUCGGACUAGAGUACGGAAGAGGCGAGUGGAAUUCCCGGUGUAGCGGUGAAAUGCGCAGAUAUCGGGAGGAACACCAAUUGCGAAGGCAGCUCGCUGGGACGUCACUGACGCUGAGGCGCGAAAGCGUGGGGAGCGAACAGG
Molecule: ribosomal RNA, 253 nt
Filed under: uncultured bacterium
Lineage: Bacteria
Description: partial 16S ribosomal RNA
Rfam family: Bacterial small subunit ribosomal RNA
Source: RNAcentral